AUGCUCGCUUUGGCAGCACAUACACUAAAAUUGGGAAAAUAGAAGAUUAGCAUGGCCCCUUUACAAGGAUGACACACAAAUUCGAGAAAAUUAUCUUCUUUUC
Small nuclear RNA from Hyaena hyaena (striped hyena), 103 nucleotides. The record is from RefSeq and is a predicted model, not a curated record. Lineage: Eukaryota; Metazoa; Chordata; Mammalia; Carnivora; Hyaenidae.